This 278-nucleotide ribosomal RNA is filed under the name uncultured bacterium. Its description in RNAcentral is "partial 16S ribosomal RNA". It matches the Rfam family "Bacterial small subunit ribosomal RNA", at positions 506 to 784 of the family's 1533-position model. The record is from RNAcentral.
UGCCAGCAGCCGCGGUAACACGGGGGGCGCAAGCGUUAUUCGGAAUUAUUGGGCGUAAAGGGUGCGUAGGCGGUCAUUUAAGUCUUUGGUGUAAGUGCAAGGCUCAACCUUGUGAUGUUAAGGAAACUGGAUGACUUGAGUGUGAUAGAGGUAAGUGGAAUUCCAUGUGUAGCGGUAAAAUGUUAUAAUCCUUUCAAGACCAACUAAGGCGAAGGCAUCACACUUGAACGGACCUGACGGUGAGGGUCGAGAGCUAGGGGAGCGAACCGGAUUAGAUA